GGGCGCUUAGCUCAGUUGGUGGAGCGUCUGCCUUACAAGCAGAAGGUCGGCGGUUCGAUCCCGUCAGCGCCCA
This 73-nucleotide transfer RNA is filed under the name Acinetobacter sp. F_3_1. RNAcentral describes it as "tRNA-Val". It matches the Rfam family "tRNA". From Rfam's summary of the family: Transfer RNA (tRNA) molecules are approximately 80 nucleotides in length. Their secondary structure includes four short double-helical elements and three loops (D, anti-codon, and T loops). The record is from RNAcentral. Lineage: Bacteria; Pseudomonadati; Pseudomonadota; Gammaproteobacteria; Moraxellales; Moraxellaceae.